CAAGUCGAGCGGAGUUAUUCCUUCGGGGAUAACUUAGCGGCGGACGGGUGAGUAACACGUAGGCAACCUGCCUGUAAGAUCGGGAUAACUACCGGAAACGGUAGCUAAGACCGAAUAAUCAGCUUGGUCGCAUGACCGAGCUGGGAAAAGCGGAGCAAUCUGCUACUUACAGAUGGGCCUGCGGCGCAUUAGCUAGUUGGUGGGGUAACGGCUCACCAAGGCGACGAUGCGUAGCCGACCUGAGAGGGUGAACGGCCACACUGGGACUGAGACACGGCCCAGACUCCUACGGGAGGCAGCAGUAGGGAAUCUUCCGCAAUGGACGCAAGUCUGACGGAGCAACGCCGCGUGAGUGAUGAAGGUUUUCGGAUCGUAAAGCUCUGUUGCCAGGGAAGAACGCUUGGGAGAGUAACUGCUCUCAAGGUGACGGUACCUGAGAAGAAAGCCCCGGCUAACUACGUGCCAGCAGCCGCGGUAAUACGUAGGGGGCAAGCGUUGUCCGGAAUUAUUGGGCGUAAAGCGCGCGCAGGCGGCUUUGUAAGUCUGGUGUUUAAACCUAGGGCUCAACCCUGGGUCG
Molecule: ribosomal RNA, 577 nt
Filed under: Paenibacillus terrigena
Lineage: Bacteria; Bacillati; Bacillota; Bacilli; Caryophanales; Paenibacillaceae
Description: bacterial SSU rRNA
Rfam family: Bacterial small subunit ribosomal RNA
Source: RNAcentral